UAAAUACUCCCUCCGUCCGGAAAUACUCGUCGGAGGAAUGCAUAAAAAUCAAUGUAUCUAGAACUAAAAUACAUCUAGAUACAUCCAUUCCUCCGACGAGUAUUUCCGGACGGAGGAAGUAUGUA
Non-coding RNA from Triticum aestivum (bread wheat), 125 nucleotides. Lineage: Eukaryota; Viridiplantae; Streptophyta; Magnoliopsida; Poales; Poaceae. The record is from Rfam.